This 79-nucleotide microRNA precursor is filed under the name Sorex araneus (European shrew). RNAcentral describes it as "miRNA (ENSSARG00000017652.1)". The record is from RNAcentral. Lineage: Eukaryota; Metazoa; Chordata; Mammalia; Eulipotyphla; Soricidae.
GGGCUGGGCGGGGCUGGGCUGGGGAGAAGGGGCACCACGGACACUGCAGCCGCUCUGCCUCGGGCUGCCUGUCAAAGCG